Molecule: long non-coding RNA, 1583 nt
Organism: Ananas comosus (pineapple)
Lineage: Eukaryota; Viridiplantae; Streptophyta; Magnoliopsida; Poales; Bromeliaceae
Exons: 2
Source: RefSeq, a predicted model, not a curated record
UUGUUUUUUUUUUUUGUGUGUGUGGUGUGUAAGUUUCCUGUGUAGGAUAAACAUUUUUUUUCCUUUUGAUUUUUCAUUAUCAUAUAACUUAGCAAUAACCCAUUUUGGAAAAUGGGUAUAACUUUGAAAAUUUAAAUUUUACUACCUAACCUUACAUUCAUUUUGAUUUAUGAAAGUUUCUCAAAAAAGUUUAUCAAAUUCUACUGGAAUUUAAAGAAACAAUAUGGUCGAAAACAUCAUUAAGUUUUGAUUGGAGCAUAGUAAAUCAAGCAUAUUAUAAAAUUAGAUACUAAAAUCAAAAUUUUGAGACAUCAGGUGCUUGAUUGAAAAUGAGGCGAAGUUCGCAGCGACGGUGGCAGCGAUAAACUUCUACACUUUCUAUCAUGAUUUGCGGACACUGAGAAGGGCUGUUUUGUUCCUCAGAAAAGUAUGGAGAAAGGAUUUUCGAGAAAAAUACUUUUUCAUGGAAAUCCUUUUUUUUAGUUUUCUGCCUGUGUGGUUUCAAGAAAAAUUAGUUUUUUUUGGAAUUUCUUUUUUUAGAUUUCACAGAAAAUUAGUGUUUUCGUUUUUCACAGAAAAAUUCAGAAAAUGAAAAUACUAGUUUUCCAUUAAAUAUAGAAAUUCUUUUUUUUUUCAAAAAAGUUAGUUCUUUUGGAACCAAAAUGGAUGGGAAAACUCAAAAAAUGCUUUUUUUUCAUGAAAAACUUUUUUUUCCAUACUUUUUCAACGAACCAAACAGUCCCUGAAUGACUUACAGAUCACGAAUUCUGCGUAUUCAUUUUGUCAUGUCAGCGGAAUGAUGGAAGAGCCUAAUGUGGAAACACUGAACGACUCAUCAGUCGCGGAUUCUGUGUAUUUAUUUCGUCAUGUCAAGCAGAAGGAUUGGAAGAACUUAGUGCGUAAGUAUGUUCGAUUUGCGAAGAUUCGCAUACAUUUUGGUUAAGUUUUAUGUGUUGAAUUCACAAUGAGAUGCUGCUGGAGGAGGAAUGAAUUGAGUUUAUGCAAGAUCUGCUCGAAGAUUCGCAUACAUUUUCGACAGCGGCAGCGAUUUGUCAGAUGAUGAUAUUUCUCGUCAGCAAGUCGUAAACUUCUAUACUUUCUGUCAUGAAUUGCAGACACUGAACGACUCAUUAGUUGCUGAUUCUGUGUAUUCAUUUCGUCAUGUCAAUCAGAGUAAGUACGUUCGAUUUGUGAAGAUUCACAUACGUGCUGGGCUCAGUUUUAUGCUUUGAAUUCGCAGUUACAGAUCAAUUGAUGAAGAUUUGCAGGUGAGAACAAGUAGUUGUACCGUGCGACGAGAAAUGAACUCUUUUAUUUCCGUCCCUGCGUGAUUCGAAGGUGCGAUCGGAAUAGAGGUUUCCGGGUGUUAUCUCUUUAUCAAUUAGGGUUCAUGAUACUCUGUAGCUGGCGAUCCAGCUCUCACUGUUCGCGAGCUGGUUCAUGUUCGGCUUGAAAUGAGUUCGGGAUCAAUUGCUUGUUUAAUGAUGAGCUGAAUUUUUUAGCUCGAAAGGGUUAGCUUGCUCAUGUUCGGCUCAUUUAUAUAACUCGAAUAUAUACGUUACAAAUUUCUAUCAUUUGGAUUU